AUUGAACGCUGGCGGCAGGCCUAACACAUGCAAGUCGAGCGGACGAAGGGAGCUCGCUCCUGGCUUCCGCUGCGGACGGGCGAGUAAUGCCUAGGAAUAUGCCCGGCAGUGGGGGAUAACGUACGGUCACGGGAGCUAAUCUCGUAUACGUCAAGAGGGUGAAAGUGGGGGAUCUUUGGACCACACGCUAUCUGCUGACACUAGGUCGGAUUAGCUAGUUGGUGGGGUAAAGGCCUACCAAGGCGACGAUCCGUAACCGGUCUGAGAGGAUGAUCAGUCACACUGGAACUGAGACACGGUCCAGACUCCUACGGGAGGCAGCAGUGGGGAAUAUUGGACAAUGGGCGAAAGCCUGAUCCAGCCAUGCCGCGUGAGUGAAGAAGGUCUUCGGAUUGUAAAGCUCUUUUAGUUGGGAAGAAGAGCAGUAAGUUAAUACCUGGCUGUUUUGACGGUACCAACAGAAUAAGCACCGGCUAACUACGUG
RNAcentral lists this ribosomal RNA (484 nucleotides) under uncultured bacterium. Its description in RNAcentral is "partial 16S ribosomal RNA". It matches the Rfam family "Bacterial small subunit ribosomal RNA", at positions 30 to 507 of the family's 1533-position model. The record is from RNAcentral.